RNA transcript from Cavia porcellus (domestic guinea pig), 6174 nucleotides. It is a transcript of the gene named FtsJ RNA 2'-O-methyltransferase 1, with no coding region annotated. The record is from RefSeq and is a predicted model, not a curated record. NCBI's taxonomy places the organism in Eukaryota, Metazoa, Chordata, Mammalia, Rodentia, Caviidae. The transcript is spliced from 13 exons.
CUCUCUUACGUUGCUAUGUUCGAUCACAUAGUACGUAAGUUCUGCCCCCUGUUCGUGAGCGUUGCAUGCUGGGAGCGGCUGUUGUGUGACCCAGAAACGCUGACACUACCUGUCUGGAUCCACGUGCUACGUUCUGGUCCGGUAGGGCUCUCCGUGGAGCUUUGGGGUUCUGCUAUGCCGAGUUGACCCCCCCCCCUGCGGUGAGCAUUAGGCAUGGUGUGGCAGGCAUCCGAGUCAGCUAGGAACACUAACCGAAGCCCUGCCAUUUCUCGCUGAUUGGCGCGCUUGCCAAGGCUCAGGCUGCUGGCAGACCGGUUUCCUCCCUCCUCGUCCUGCCAGCUAAGGUGGCAUCAGCUAAUCAGCAGGUGGGCAGUGUGAGAUGGGACGAACGUCAAAGGAUAAGCGGGAUGUCUACUAUCGCCUGGCCAAGGAGAAUGGCUGGCGGGCCCGCAGCGCCUUCAAACUGCUACAGCUCGACGAGGAAUUCCACCUCUUCCAAGGUGUGACCCGGGCGGUUGACCUGUGUGCAGCUCCAGGCAGCUGGAGCCAGGUGCUGAGUCAGAAGAUUGGGGGCCAGGGGCCUGGCCAUGUGGUAGCUGUGGAUUUGCAGGCUAUGGCUCCCCUACCAGGUGUGAUACAGAUUCAAGGAGACAUCACCCAGCUUUCCACUGCCAAGGAAAUCAUCCAGCACUUUGAGGGCUGCCAUGCAGACCUAGUGGUGUGUGACGGGGCUCCCGAUGUCACUGGCCUCCAUGAUGUUGAUGAGUACAUGCAGGCCCAGCUCCUCCUAGCCGCUCUGAACAUUGCUACUCACGUCUUGAAGCCAGGGGGUUGCUUUGUGGCCAAGAUAUUCCGAGGCCGGGAUGUGACUCUGCUCUACAGCCAACUACGUGUCUUCUUCUCCAGUGUGCUUUGCGCUAAGCCUAGGAGCAGCCGGAACUCCAGCAUCGAGGCCUUUGCUGUCUGUCGGGGUUAUGACCCUCCUGAGGGCUUCGUUGCAGACCUGACCAAGCCUCUGCUGGACCACUCAUACGAUUUCAACCAACUGGAUGGCCCCACCCGCAUUAUUGUGCCUUUUGUGACCUGUGGGGACCUGAGCGCCUAUGAUUCAGACCGCAGUUACCCACUGGACUUACAAGAUGGCUCCGAGUACAAGUAUACUCCACCCACACAGCCCCCCAUCUCACCUCCAUACCAGGAGGCCUGUACAUUGAAGAAGAAGGGGCAGCUGGCCAAGGAGACCCGUCCUCAGGACUGCCCCAUCAGCAGAGUGGAUGUACCAUCUCAACCACUGACCUCCCCUUAACACCACACCCUGCUGGCCCCUGAGGUAAAACACAACAAACCGAACUGUACACCUUAACACAUUAAGUUAACUGGCAAGCUGACAACUCAGAAACUGCUGCCUUUCAAGAAAAACAGCUUGAGUUGAUGAACUUGUCCUCAGAUAUCAGCAGGCCUACACAGACAAGCCAUGAAUGGGAUUCUGCAACAUGCCCAUGUCUCAGUCACUUUCUCAUCAUUAGGAAAUGGUGCCCAACACCUACGACUUAAAGAAGGAGGUUUACUUUGGCUCACAUUUUUUUAUUCCAUAGUUGACUGGCUCCAGGGAAGAAAGGGAUGAGAAUGGCGUGGGUGAUUAUGUUUGUAACAUUUCCAGCAUUGCUGAAAUGUUCAAGUGCAAAAUUUCCUCUGAGACUCAAAGCAACUUGUAGCUAUGAGCAAAAGAAAGUUAACAUACAAUACCACAAGAUGAAUAUUUCAAAAGGGAGGAAUAGGAAGAGAAAAAGGAACUGAACCAAAACAAGACUGAAACCCAGCACUAAGUGCUAUAGCUCCAUGUUCAAUACUUGGGCCAAGUUAUGGCAAGAUGUAAACUCCAAAUUGCUUGAGUGGCCCUACCCCUGUGGCUUUGCCAUUUGAACCCCAAUGGCUUCUCUCUGGAGGUAGUUUUGCUUACUGCCUGUAGCAUUCCUCAGUUGAUGUUCCAUUGUUCCUGGCAUCUGUAACUUCCUGGAGUCUAUUGCACCUCCAGUUUCACUCUCAGUUUCAUGCACUGACCUCCCAGGUCUUCUGAACUCCGGGUGGAAGCUUUCUAGACCUCAUAAGUCUUAUAGUAUAUUUGCCUGUAAAACAAGCACUAUGUAGAUGAUGCCAAGGUCUCCCACCAGCUCGCACAGUAGCUGGGCCCUUUAUAUCAUUGUUGCAAAAGCCUCAAUGGCUGAGCACUGUGAACUAAACCCUAGGGAACCAAUUCCCUAGGUAGCCCUUCUCCCGCAUGGUGCCCUGAGGUUCUCUUCUCCAACACAUUUUAGCCUCAGAGGGGUGGGGUUUUGCAGAUUUCUGUGGUGCCUUCAAGGCAUCUUUCCUAUUGUCCUAAUGUAAAGUAUUUGGCUUCUUUAUAAUGUUAAUCUUUUUAGCAACCAAGCUUUCCUUGUCCAAAACUUUACAGGCCUCAACUUUACAAGAGCUUCCUUUUUGGUGAAACUUAAAACAUUUAAAGUCACUGGGAUGUUCCAUUUGCUCUUGAUUCUCAGUAUAUAUCUGGGUAAAGGCUGCCAACAAUACCUAUGCCUCAGGCUCAACAUUGGUCUGCUUUGAAAUUCUCUCCCCGUAAUUUAGUAAUCCAAUAUCUUUUAUUUCACUGCCCCACUAAGUCUCAGGAUAUGAACAGAAUGUAGACAAAAAUUCUACCAGAGUGUAAAGCACAUGGCCUGGAGCCCAAUUGCCAAUAGAAUUCUUGUUCCCAACUAAAAUCUCCUGAGCUUGGUCUUGAUGGCUUCUGCCUUUCACCAUUCUGGCUUAUGAACUCUGACCACAAUCUCCCUUGAAGCUUGGCUUACAAUACUUGGGCUUUUCUAGCUACGUCUCCAAACCUUUUCAAAUACCCCUUCCCUCAAGAACCAGUUACAAAGGCUUCUAAGUCACAUGGCCAGGUAGCAUCACAGCAGUAUCCCACUUGUACCAAAAUCUGCCUUAGUCACUUCUUGUUCCUGGAAUUCAAUGCUUGACAUUAGAGGUUUGCCUAUAGUUAUAUGGCUCCAGGGCAGAAAUGGCUUUGCUGAAGGGCCUGUUACUGAAAAAGGCUGCCUACCUGUUGGCAGCCAUGGAAGGAGAUGCACUCUUUGGGUCACAUUCCCAAUGACCUUCCUCUUCUGACCAGACCUCAUAUCCUAAUAGCAAGUCAGCUAUAGUGCCAUCCAUCGUAGUUCAUAACUUACCAAACACAUGAGGCUUUGAGGGCCAUUUUAGAUCUAAACUGUAGUACUACAUGAGGAGAACAAGGAAGGAAAUAACACAGAAGUCUGUUGUGCUGUGGUGAAAUUUUCUUGAGCUGUGCAAGGUCUUACCUCAUAAAGCUAUAUAUUCUGACUCUAUGAUUUCCCCAUAAAGUAGGUCCUUCACCUGAUAGAUGUCAGGGGUAACCAUGAACUUGAAGAAAACAUUUCACCUUUAUUUUCACUGAUAUAACUAAAAUUUAGCUUUAUUCCCAGACAUUGGAUUUAAAAAAUCAGAAGCAGUAUACAAUUUUCUACUAUGGCAAGACACUUUAUAUUAUAAGACUGUUACAGGCAUGUUGAAAUAUUCAUUCCCCAACAAUUUGGGUGAUCUUCUAAUUUGAUGUUCUAAUUUUAAAACCCCUUUAGCCAGGCAUGGUGGUGCAUGGUUGUAAUCCCAGCAUUCUGGAAGCUAAGGCAAGAUUACAGCAAAUUCAAGGAAGCCUAGGCUUUACAUGGUGAGUUCAAGGCCAGCCUGUACUACAUAGCAAGGUCAUGUCACAAAUAUUUAAAAAUAAAUAAAAAGCCCCUUUAUUACUGCAUUCCAAUUUUCUGUAAUAUAUAAUAAUAAUUAUAUAUUACAACUAGUUUUUAUUGUAGUCCUCUGUGUGUGCGCAUGCGUGCCCACCCAUACGUACUUUAAAAAUAUUGAGUGAUGGGCUAGCAAUGUGCAAACAUCUGGAUACCCAGACUCGGGCACAUGUGUGCACUUUUUCACUCACACUUGCACAUUCAUGGGCAGCCCCUUAUAAACCAGAUAGGCUUUAGGGUUCUGCUAGACCACAUCCGGUUUGGGUCACAAGAGCUGGAAAUCAUUCUAUCCACUGAAAAAUUUUCUCAAGUCUUCCAGUGUAUGAGACUGCGCUAGUCAAUGGCUGUUUCUCCAGCUUAGGACUUGUGCAUCUUUCUGGCUAUGUCGGCUUUCUACUUCAUCUCUAGACUUCCUUUACCUUUGAAGAGCUGGAUGUUGAGGGGAGAUUCAAGCUCAAGUAGCACCUUUGGGAACUGGGCCACUUUGAAACUGUAGAGACAGAAAUUACCCAGUGCAAGGCUGAUAAUUGCCAUCCACAAAAAUGCAAAUGAAAUUAGGCCUGUCCUGGUAAUAUUGUUACUGUGGAUGCUGAGGCAGAAGGAUCCUUUGAGCUAAGGGGUUCAGGGCCACCGUGGGCAACAUAUCAAGGCCCAGUCUUUAAAAAGUUCAAACUGCAAAUGAAUUUUGUCCUAUAGAACACUUAACUGAUUCCUACCUUGUACUAAAAGAUGAUUCCACCAAAUAUUAAUAUAGCAAGUUUAUUUCAAUAUCCCUGGUUGCCUGUGUAUGUCUGAUUUUUUCCCCACCAAAUGCAGUCACAUUGAUUUUCUUUUUUAAAAAAGCAAACAACAGGGGCCUGGGGAUUUAGCUCAGCGGCAUAAGCACCUGCCUUGCAAGCAGGCAGUUGUGAGUUCGAUCCCCGGUAUUGAUAAAAAGGAAAAAGACAAAAAAAAAAGAAGCUGGUUAUGGUGGCUAAUGCCUACAAUCCCCUGAGCAUAAGCACCUGCCUUGCAAGCAGGCAGUUGUGAGUUCGAUCCCCAGUAUCGAUAAAAAGGAAAAAGACAAAAAAAAAAAAGCUGGUUAUGGUGGCUAAUGCCUACAAUCCCAGCAUUUGGGAAACCAAGAUAGGAAGAUCACAUUAGUUAAAGGCCAGCCUAGAUGACGUAGUGAGUAUAAGGCCAUGAUCUGAAUAGCAAGGCCCUAUCUCAUAAAUAUAUAAAUAAAUAGAAAAGGCAAAUGACAAAACCUAGUUUGCCAGCUUUUUAAAAACCUAAGCUCAACAUUACAUAUUUGAACAGUUGUCUAAAUCUUACUAAAUUGUCAGCAUCCAUGCACAUCCUGAAAACAUCUUUAAACUUAAACCAGAACUAUAUUACCAUUAAUGCAUUAAUAUCUUUCAUUUCUGAAUGCUGAAGAAAUGGAGAUUAUAUCUGUGUAGGACUCUUCCUGGCAAUGUUAGUUUCACAGUCGGCAGACAUUACUUGGUUCACGUCUCAGACACAAUGAGAACAGAUGCAUACUGCUGUUUAGUGCUACUCCAGAGCCAAGACUUACCCUGAAUUACAUUUAAUAAAAACCUAAGUGCAUACAGAAAUUACAACAAUGUUAAAGACUGGCAGCUGUUCACUCUUUCCCUACUUUUACUUGACCCAAAUCUGCUCUUUGGAACCUGUUUUUUGUUUUCCUACCUGUAAUAAAACUUUGCUAUUGUUAAAAAAAAUUGGUUUUUUGAGACAGGGUGUGACUAUAUAGUUCAGCCUUGAACUCACUAUGUACCCCAGGCUGGUCUCGAACUCAUGGCAAUUCUUGUGCCUCAACACCUGACAAAAAACAGACAAAAGCAAACAACCACCACAUGCACAAUUUUAAAGGCUAAAAUGGUCCCAAGAGAUAUUGGGAAAUGGGAAUAAAAUGUUCAAAUGAGAAGGGGAACAGGGAAAGUGGAGGCAUAAAGGAAAAAAGAGAAGAAAAAAGAAUAGAAAGAGAGCUGAGUGUAGUGGUGCAUGCCUGUAAUCUUAGCAUUAGGGAGGCUAACGCAAGAAGAUUGUUUCAAGUUUGAGACCAGCCUAGGCUACAAGGUGAGCUCAGAGCCAGCCUGAAUUGCAUAGCAAGACCCUGUCUCAAAAAGAACCCCCCCCCCAAAAGAGAAUAGACAGGAAAAUAGAAAGAAAACUUUUGUAAAUAAGGAGAUGAAGAGAGGGUAGAAAAUAGGAACAAAAGAAAAGACAUAUUAUGUACAUGUAUAAAUUCUCUAUAAUGAAUGUGAUCAUGCAUAUCUAAAAUGUAUCAAUAAAAUUUUAAAAACUCAAAGACUAAAAUAGUCCUAGAGUGUGGUCUUAACAAUAAACUCAAACAUCUGUGACA